Long non-coding RNA from Amblyraja radiata (thorny skate), 156 nucleotides. RefSeq lists it as uncharacterized. Lineage: Eukaryota; Metazoa; Chordata; Chondrichthyes; Rajiformes; Rajidae. The record is from RefSeq and is a predicted model, not a curated record. The transcript has 3 exons.
CUACUCACUGCCUGCCAUUCUGAAAAGGACCCGUUUACUCCUACCCUUUGCUUCCUGUCUGCCAGCCAGUUCUCUAUCCACAUCAAUACUGUACCCCCAAUAGCGUGUGCUUUAAAUGUGUAUACUAAUACCGUAUGUGGCACUUUGUCGAAAGCC